This 220-nucleotide long non-coding RNA is filed under the name Panax ginseng (ginseng). RNAcentral describes it as "long non-coding RNA (PGIN_LNC003367)". Lineage: Eukaryota; Viridiplantae; Streptophyta; Magnoliopsida; Apiales; Araliaceae. The record is from RNAcentral.
UGCAGUAUGUGAGCAACUAUAGAAAAGACCAAGGUCAAUUUCAGAACAUAUACCACCCCAACAACAGAAAUCAUCCAAAUUUUAGUUGGUCAAAUAAUCAAGGGAAUCAGCAGACUCAAUUUCAAUCAAAUAAUCAAUUUUAGCCGCAGCCAGCACAACCGCAGUUUAAUCCUAUUCCACCCUUUCCUCCAGGAUUUUCUCAACAUCAACAACAACAUCA